This 404-nucleotide unclassified non-coding RNA is filed under the name soil metagenome. RNAcentral's name for it is "partial contains 5.8S ribosomal RNA, internal transcribed spacer 2, and large subunit ribosomal RNA". The stretch from base 1 to 122 matches the Rfam family "5.8S ribosomal RNA", at positions 35 to 154 of the family's 154-position model. The record is from RNAcentral.
GAUGAAGAACGUAGCAAAAUGCGAUACUUGGUGUGAAUUGCAGAAUCCCGUGAACCAUCGAGUUUUUGAACGCAAGUUGCGCCCGAAGCCUUUUGGCCGAGGGCACGUCUGCCUGGGCGUCACGCAUCGCGUCGCCCCCCACAAUUCUCCGUAAAGGGAACAUGUGUUUUGGGGGCGGAUAUUGGUCUCCCGUGCUCAUGGCGUGGUUGGCCGAAAUAGGAGUCCUUUCGAUGGACGCACGAACUAGUGGUUGUCGUAAAAACCCUCGUCUUUUGUUUCGUGCUGUUGCUCGCAAGGUAAACUCUUUAAAAACCCCAAUGUGUCGUCUCUUGACGACGCUUCGACCGCGACCCCAGGUCAGGCGGGACUACCCGCUGAGUUUAAGCAUAUCAAUAAGCGGAGGA